RNAcentral lists this ribosomal RNA (496 nucleotides) under uncultured bacterium. RNAcentral's name for it is "partial 16S ribosomal RNA". It matches the Rfam family "Bacterial small subunit ribosomal RNA", at positions 28 to 506 of the family's 1533-position model. The record is from RNAcentral.
GAUGAACGCUGGCGGCGUGCCUAAUACAUGCAAGUCGAGCGAACAGACGAGGAGCUUGCUCCUCUGACGUUAGCGGCGGACGGGUGAGUAACACGUGGAUAACCUACCUAUAAGACUGGGAUAACUUCGGGAAACCGGAGCUAAUACCGGAUAAUAUAUUGAACCGCAUGGUUCAAUAGUGAAAGACGGUUUUGCUGUCACUUAUAGAUGGAUCCGCGCCGCAUUAGCUAGUUGGUAAGGUAACGGCUUACCAAGGCAACGAUGCGUAGCCGACCUGAGAGGGUGAUCGGCCACACUGGAACUGAGACACGGUCCAGACUCCUACGGGAGGCAGCAGUAGGGAAUCUUCCGCAAUGGGCGAAAGCCUGACGGAGCAACGCCGCGUGAGUGAUGAAGGUCUUCGGAUCGUAAAAUGCUGUUAUUAGGGAAGAACAAAUGUGUAAGUAACUAUGCACGUCUUGACGGUACCUAAGCAGAAAGCCACGGCUAACUACGG